GCUCCGGCUCCGGCUCCGGCUCCGCUGCGGCGCCGCCGCUUUUAUCGCGGCCGGGCGGGGCCGCGCGGGGCGUCACGGAGCGCGGAAUCCCGGCCCGCGGCGGGGGGGCCCCGCGUGGGAGCGCGGCGGGAGUAACGUCUGGAUCUGUCCUUGGUGGCAAUAGCUCGUGGCUGUUGGAGCUGUCACUUUUCUCAUCUUCAGCACUUCAGCCGAGGCCGAUUCUCAUUCAGCCGGCAGUGUCCCCUGCCCUUGUUCCCCAUGUCCUUGGCCAGGACACCUGAGCACAAACGGAUCUGUCCCAGCUCCCUGAGCCUCUCCUGCCUGUUGACUUUAUCCUUGUCCGCUCCUGGGGUGUUGUGUUGUGAUAGGAAACUCCUGACCUGGAGAAGAGCCUGCAGGGGUAAUGGGGACCGUGGCCCUUAGCUCAGCUCAGCACUGCAGCAGCACAUAUGGCUGGAGUAUUUACAUAAUGCCAAGUUAUCCUGUGAAAUAUGAAGCAAUUAAUUUUGAUUAGUGAAGUGGGUCAAUAAAAUACAAAGGUUUUCAGCCCA
Taeniopygia guttata (zebra finch) is the source of this 551-nucleotide non-coding RNA. The record is from RefSeq and is a predicted model, not a curated record. NCBI's taxonomy places the organism in Eukaryota, Metazoa, Chordata, Aves, Passeriformes, Estrildidae.